GAUGAAGAACGUAGCGAAAUGCGAUAAGUAAUGCGAAUUGCAGAAUUCAGUGAGUCAUCGAAUCUUUGAACGCACAUUGCGCCCUGUGGUAUUCCGCAGGGCAUGCCUGUUCGAGCGUCAUUUCAACCCUCAAGCUCUGCUUGGUGUUGGGCCCUGCCCGCUGCGGCCGGCCCUAAAGACAGUGGCGGUGCCGCCUGGCCCUGAGCGUAGUACAUCUCUCGCUGCAGUGCCCGGUGGUAGCCUGCCAGAACCCCAACUCUCGUGGUUGACCUCGGAUCAGGUAGGGAUACCCGCUGAACUUAAGCAUAUCAAUAAGCGGAGGA
Molecule: unclassified non-coding RNA, 323 nt
Filed under: soil metagenome
Description: partial contains 5.8S ribosomal RNA, internal transcribed spacer 2, and large subunit ribosomal RNA
Rfam family: 5.8S ribosomal RNA (bases 1-120)
Source: RNAcentral